AUUGAACGCUGGCGGCAGGCCUAACACAUGCAAGUCGAACGGUAACAGGAAGCAGCUUGCUGCUUUGCUGACGAGUGGCGGACGGGUGAGUAGUGUCUGGGAAACUGCCUGAUGGAGGGGGAUAACUACUGGAAACGGUAGCUAAUACCGCAUAACGUCGCAAGACCAAAGAGGGGGACCUUCGGGCCUCUUGCCAUCGGAUGUGCCCAGAUGGGAUUAGCUAGUAGGUGGGGUAACGGCUCACCUAGGCGACGAUCCCUAGCUGGUCUGAGAGGAUGACCAGCCACACUGGAACUGAGACACGGUCCAGACUCCUACGGGAGGCAGCAGUGGGGAAUAUUGCACAAAGGGCGCAAGCCUGAUGCAGCCAUGCCGCGUGUAUGAAGAAGGCCUUCGGGUUGUAAAGUACUUUCAGCGGGGAGGAAGGGAGUAAAGUUAAUACCUUUGCUCAUUGACGUUACCCGCAGAAGAAGCACCGGCUAACUCCGUG
RNAcentral lists this ribosomal RNA (490 nucleotides) under uncultured bacterium. Its description in RNAcentral is "partial 16S ribosomal RNA". It matches the Rfam family "Bacterial small subunit ribosomal RNA", at positions 30 to 507 of the family's 1533-position model. The record is from RNAcentral.